GUAAUGAUGGCCAGGCUGUCUCCACCCGAGACUCAGUGAAAUUGAACUCGCUGUGAAGAUGCAGUGUACCCGCGGCAAGACGGAAAGACCCCGUGAACCUUUACUAUAGCUUGACACUGAACAUUGAGCCUUGAUGUGUAGGAUAGGUGGGAGGCUUUGAAGUGUGGACGCCAGUCUGCAUGGAGCCGGCCUUGAAAUACCACCCUUUAAUGUUUGAUGUUCUAACGUGGACCCGUGAUCCGGGUUGCGGACAGUGUCUGGUGGGUAGUUUGACUGGGGCGGUCUCCUCCUAAAGAGUAACGGAGGAGCACGAAGGUUGGCUAAUCCUGGUCGGACAUCAGGAGGUUAGUGCAAUGGCAUAAGCCAGCUUGACUGCGAGCGUGACGGCGCGAGCAGGUGCGAAAGCAGGUCAUAGUGAUCCGGUGGUUCUGAAUGGAAGGGCCAUCGCUCAACGGAUAAAAGGUACUCCGGGGAUAACAGGCUGAUACCGCCCAAGAGUUCAUAUCGACGGCGGUGUUUGGCACCUCGAUGUCGGCUCAUCACAUCCUGGGGCUGAAGUAGGUCCCAAGGGUAUGGCUGUUCGCCAUUUAAAGUGGUACGCGAGCUGGGUUUAGAACGUCGUGAGACAGUUCGGUCCCUAUCUGCCGUGGGCGCUGGAGAACUGAGGGGGGCUGCUCCUAGUACGAGAGGACCGGAGUGGACGCAUCACUGGUGUUCGGGUUGUCAUGCCAAUGGCACUGCCCGGUAGCUAAAUGCGGAAGAGAUAAGUGCUGAAAGCAUCUAAGCACGAAACUUGCCCCGA
RNAcentral lists this ribosomal RNA (802 nucleotides) under Salmonella enterica. RNAcentral describes it as "partial 23S ribosomal RNA". It matches the Rfam family "Bacterial large subunit ribosomal RNA", at positions 2001 to 2802 of the family's 2925-position model. Lineage: Bacteria; Pseudomonadati; Pseudomonadota; Gammaproteobacteria; Enterobacterales; Enterobacteriaceae. The record is from RNAcentral.